RNAcentral lists this ribosomal RNA (316 nucleotides) under Salmonella enterica subsp. enterica. RNAcentral describes it as "partial 23S ribosomal RNA". It matches the Rfam family "Bacterial large subunit ribosomal RNA", at positions 897 to 1211 of the family's 2925-position model. RNAcentral also lists the same sequence under 1 other name. The record is from RNAcentral. Lineage: Bacteria; Pseudomonadati; Pseudomonadota; Gammaproteobacteria; Enterobacterales; Enterobacteriaceae.
CGGGGGUAGAGCACUGUUUCGGCUAGGGGGCCAUCCCGGCUUACCAACCCGAUGCAAACUGCGAAUACCGGAGAAUGUUAUCACGGGAGACACACGGCGGGUGCUAACGUCCGUCGUGAAGAGGGAAACAACCCAGACCGCCAGCUAAGGUCCCAAAGUCAUGGUUAAGUGGGAAACGAUGUGGGAAGGCCCAGACAGCCAGGAUGUUGGCUUAGAAGCAGCCAUCAUUUAAAGAAAGCGUAAUAGCUCACUGGUCGAGUCGGCCUGCGCGGAAGAUGUAACGGGGCUAAACCAUGCACCGAAGCUGCGGCAGCGA